AAGGAUUUGAAUCUGAAACUUGGCUGCAAGAGGAGGAAACCAAGUAAAAAGCGAAGAGUACCCCUUCGAGCAAUCAAAACAGUGUCUUUGGAAGCCAGAGGAGGGCGCUGCAGCCUCUGGAGUUAGAGGAAACUCACAGCUGCCUGACUGCAAUGCUGAGAACUGACCUCUGGUCCACUGAGAGAACACAAAGCACUCCUCAAAUCAUUGAGCCAUCUCUCCAGCCCCACACUGAUCCCACUUUUCUCUCUCAAGACAGCCUGGGACUCUAUGUAGACCAGGCUGGCCUCUGUCCCCUGACAGCUAGACAUACGUUUUGUAAGGACCCCAACGUCUACUGUGUUUGCAAAACCCAUUUCCAGUUUGCCUAAUAUCAGGAAGUAGCUUGAGCUAAGGAUUUCCUCCCUCACUCCCCAGGAGUGUCGGGCUGGAGAGAAAGCUCAGUGGUCAAGCGCAUGCGCGGCUAUCUCAGAGGACUCCAGCCUGUUUCCUAGCACACGUUAGGUCCUUAGGUCGCAAGCAUCCAUACCUCCAACCCCAGGGUAUCCGACACUCUCCUCCACCCUUUGCAAAUCCCUGCACUCACGUUUAAACACACUCCUGCGUAUGCUUAUGAAUCAAAAUAAAAUAAAUCUUUGGAAAUGUCUUGACACCCCCCCACACACACACACACGUAGUUGAAGAGCCUGUCAAAUUAAUGUUUGCAAAGUCUUGAGGAGGAGAGCCUCCAUGAGCACCACUCAAAUCGUGACUAAUGAAGAAAUAGCUGUUGACUUGAGAAGAAUCUAAUUAGCUGUGGAGAGAUGGGGUAAGGGGGCGUUGAGAUUUCCACGGCGGCCUUCAGGACUGUUGAUUUGGGUACAGUCCAGCAUCUCUAACGCGCUGUACCAGACAAAAGCUGCCCUCCCCCCUUCAAGGGCAACUUCUCGGCUUGCUUAGGAAGCAGAGUGGGAGCAAAGACAAAGGUUGUACAAAGUCUUGAUGGAGAGGAUGUAAAAAGAAGAAAGCCAUCAACACGUGAAGCACAGCCAAUACGGUACCGGCCCAUGGGGUGUGCUAUUCUACAAGCGCUCCAGAGCCGGAUGUGUGACCUUGGACAGCUCGAAGAGCAUGGGCCAAAUGACCCUUCUCUCCUAUCUAUGGGUGAGUCCUCACUGGACAACGAUUCUUCCUAGAAUUCGCGGUCAGUCCAAAGAUGGAGCAGUAACAAGCACGAAGGGCUAAACAUAGCAUGCAAUCUUGUGGGACAGUGUAGACAUGGCAUUUUUAUUCAAUGAAAACAGGAAGAAGGAACAUUCUGUCCUGGUCAGACAAAGCUUUGCAGACUGAAGAGAUGGCCCUAGCUUCCUGAACAGCAAUAAUUAACAUUGUCAGCGUAUUACAGAGCUGGCGUGUACAUGCUAAAAUACGACAUCUUGUCUCAAUCGUACUGUGUCCCUAGGGAAGGUAUUUCUCAAGUAUGUGUGGCCUCAAGCUUGGGCUCUGUGACACCACCUGAGCUCAAGUGCAAAGGUCAGUGUAAGGAUGGUCAACUGGUCCUCAGCUGGAGACACACCAAAAAUGUGCCGAUGGCCGCCUCCAACGCUAAAGUGGGGGGAAACCUUUACUGACCUGAAGGUUUUUGGUUAUUUUUGGUUCUCAUUGUUUCGGUAAAACACUUCAAAAAGGACGUUAUGGGAGAAGGGUUUAUGUGGCCUCACGGCUUGAGGGUAUUGUCCAUCUUGGCAAAGAAGCCACAGCAGCAGGAACACGAGGUGCCUGGUUACGCUGUAUCCACAGUCAGGGAGCCAACACAAGUGGACGCCAGUACUCAGCUUGCUUUCGUCUUUCAGUGGACCCCAACCCAUGAGUUAGUGCCACCAUGUUAGGGUGGGUCUAUCCUCCCUAGUGAAACCAUGAGAGGAAACUCUCACGGGUACCCAGAAUUGUCUUCCCAUUGUGAUGAUACAUCUAAUCAAGUUUGACAAUGCGAGUAAUUAUGACAUAAAAACGCUAAGUGAAUCCAAAGGAGACCACUUCUCUGGGCAGAAAAUUUGAUUUUAGAGACCUUUAAAACAGGAUGACUCCUACCUAAGUUAUUGCUGGCAACUCAUUGUCAGGUAUUUUAUACAUAAUUAUACCAGAGAGAGGAAGUUAUUCUUAAACAUCCACAGUUGAAUCUAUAUUUUAUAAACAUUGUAUAAUCCUACUAGAUGUUACCACUGAAACAAAACAGUCCCGGUAGGAAUGAGAAGGUGAGAAGGAACAAGAGAAGAAGGUUUCAAUCAUAAAAUAAGCAUAGUUCCUGAUGACCAUCAUCCCAAGGACCGCAGACCCAGCCAAUCACAGGCCCAGCCUACCACAGACCCAGCCAAUCACAGACCCAGCCUACCACAGACCCAGCCAAUCACAGGCCCAACCAACCAUAGGCCCAGCCAACCACAAACCCACCCAACCACAGACCCACCCAAUCACAGACCCAGCUAAUCACAGGCCCAACCAACCACAGACCCAGCCAAUCACAGAGUCAGCCAAUCACAGACCGAGCCUACCACAGACCCAGCCCACCACAGACCCAGCCAAUCACAGAUCCAGUCAAUUACAGAUCCAGCCAAUCACAGAGUCAGCCAAUCACAGACCCAGCCAAUCACAGAGUCAGCCAAUCACAGUCAACCAAUCACAGAUUCAGCCAAUCACAGAGUCAGCCAAUCACAGAAUCAGCCAAACACAGAAUCAGCCAAUCACAGAGUCAGCCAAUCACCGAUGCACAGGACUCAGGCUCAUACCUGAAAACAGUUUGCACUGCAGUUUUCUAAAAUAUGUCCAUUGUGUAUUCUAUGCAACACGUACAAUAUCAAUCUGAGGCCAUCUUUUCUCCUCCACAUAUUUACUGUGCAUCUUCAGCAAGCCAAUCAGUAAGCAGGUCAACUCCUGCACAAAUGCCUGUCUCUGUAACUUACAUUCCAGUGCGGCAGCGAGGUGCGGAUCCUACACGGCUAUAAACUUAUUGCACUGACUAGGUAUCAUAGAAUCAGGUUCUUUUAGAAUCCUGUGAGAACCUCACAGAUAAUAAGCAGGGUAAGGGGAGACGACUGGGGGACAUUUGUGUUCUGGAGUUCGUGGUGCUGAGUGUCGGAGCUGAGCUUAUCUCCAUAAGGGAUGGGGAGACGGACCUAAAACUACAAAGAUAGCGCGCGUGAGUUGCACACUCAGCACGGGUUCUCAUUUUGUCAUUACUAGAUUUGUGCACUGAGGGAGUUGUCAAAAUAUCUGCCUGUCACAGGCGCCUUUAAGACUGAAAACAAGGGGUGGGUGGAUAUGGGGGACUUUUGGUAUAGCAUUGGAAAUGUAAAUGAGUUAAAUACCUAAUAAAAAAUGGAAAAAAAAAAAAGACUGAAAACAAAAAAGUCUUAUAGAACCAUUAUGUGCCCAUGUCACUUCUUAGUCCCAUCUUCCUAUGGCCUCUGCCUCUAAGCCUAGCCUGGAAAGGUCCCUCGCUUUCAACUUUUAGGUUCGGUUCCCUCUGUAUUCAUAAACUCAAUCUCACUGCAAAGUCCCCUUUUCACAUAAGGGAACAUAGUGACACGUUUUUUAAACUAGCCAGUUGACUAGGGACCCUGUGAUUCCAUCCACCAGAGUUUGCUCUGUGACCUCUAAAGACAGACUCGUGUGCAGCAUACCUUAUCCCAAGUCCCUCAAGAGUCUCAGCCCAUUGUAGCCUCAGGCCAAAAUAUCACCAGCUCAAAUGUCCAGAAUCUCAUCAUCUGCUUCAUGUAAAUCAGAUGUGUGUGAGACCCUGGGUGGCGGUGUCCUGGGGGCAGUGUCCUGUAUCUUUCCCAAUGUAGCCAUUUAGAGAUAAGUGAGUUACUAUGUCUUCAAUAGCAUAUACAUUUUAUGAACUGUUUCCACUGUGUGAUACCAUUGUGUCCCCAGCAUUUUUAUGGAAUGUUCUUGUUUGGUUUAUACCAGGCUACAGUGGGGCUAGUACAGAUCUCAGUGUGUAGGAUACAGGCCAUUUCAUACUUGUCAUAUAUUCACAUAUUCUAAAGUGGGAUUUGCCCUGCAUGCAAGUAAAAAAUCAAAUGUGAAACUAAAUAAACAUAGACUUUAUGUCUCAAUAUCGUCUAGUCACUUAAAAGAUAGAAAUUCACAGAUCACUUAGGCUCCAAGUACCUGGGAUUUUAGCUUUAGCCAUCACACAGGUGCACACUAGUAUAAAUCCAGUAUAAGUCACACGCAGUCGGGAUUACAAAAACAUAUGUGUGUGUGCGUAGAUCAGAGGACAACUUACAGGAGUUGGUUCCUUCCUUCCAUCAUGUAGGUCCUAGGGACUGAAUUCAGCUUCUCAGCUGUUGGGUCACCUCACUGGCCCCUACAUUGGAGUUCUGAAAAGCACUUAGGAGCUAGCCUAGGACCUGGCACCUGUGAGGUUUGACUUAGUUCUGCCUGCCUGCCUGCAUCAGUGCACUUCAGAGCAGAAGCAAGGACAAAAAUGAAUUUGCCAUAUCUUGACAAUUCUUUUCCUUCAGUUAGAAAGAAAGAAAGAAGAAAGAAAGAAAGAAAGAAAGAAAGAAAGAAACAAAGAAAGGAAAGAAAAGAAAAGAAAAGAAAAGAAAAUCUUAUCACUGUCGUAAAAGUUUCCUUUUUAAGAAGAACCAUCCAGAUUACUAUUUGUUACAAACGCAGCGAAUUGAUAGUGAGAAUGGUGUUUGAACUUAAUGUUCACAGCCUGCUAACAAACUUGACUGAGCAGAGAGAAUGGUAUCAGCUAUAAAGAAUGUCUUACCCGGGAUCAGAUCAAAUAAGACUGAGACUGCUUACUUAUAUACUGAAAGCCAUGGUAAUGCAAGGUCAUUUCUAAGGGGCUGACGGGAUGGCUCAGCCUCUUGUAGAGAACUGGAGUUCAGUUCCCACCACCCAUAGUGGACAGCUCCAGGGAAGCUGAUGGACUUCUGGCUUCCAAGGGCACCUUCGCCCACACAUGGUAUAUACACAGACAUGCAAAUAAAAAUAAAAAUAAAAAUAAACCUUUUAAAAGAGAUGCUUUUAAAAAUACAGUAGCUUACGUGGUCUCAGUGUCGGUUUGUUUGAAGACUUUCUUAAUUUGCACAGAAGGAAAUGUCCUUUCUGCUUUACAUGGUGGGGGGGGUCCCCAAAGAAGCAUCUAAUAAAGUUCCGGUUUGCCAUCAAAGAUCUGCACAUCAAGUUUUUGUUAAACGUCUACAUAUUAUAACGUUGAAUAUUCAGUUAUGGAAUCAAAAGAUUAGUAACAACGAAAACAGUGACCCUUGGCAUUUAUAAGAAACAGCAUAGUUUUUAAAGGUACAAAUUGACCUAGAAGGCUCCAGAAAUAACUAAUAAUGAAUUAUUCAUGACAGAUGAAAGAUCUCUGGUUAUCUGAUGGGAUCUGAGCCUAACCAGUCGGUGAUCAUCGGCUGUCAGGAGCUGGGGCACUUCCCCAGGUGAGAGCUUGGAUCUUCCUGUUUCUUUGUUCACAAGACCAACUCCCCCCACCCCCACCCCAGUGAAGGAGUAGAAUCCCCCUAUGGUGGUGUUAAACUUUUUUUUAAAUCCUUUGACUUGACAACAUAUUUUCCAUAAUACUGAAAAGAUGGAUUCUCAGGCUUUUAGAAAACUACUCAUUUUUGCUUCUUGGGCUCUUUAGAGUCAAGUUUAAGAAUAUCCUUUCUUUUUCUUCCCUAGUGAAGACACUGAACACAUUCUUUACGUACAAAAGCUUCUGCUUUUUCGUCCUUUCACAGGUCCCAUCUUCCUUCCCAGCAACUCAGUGCUCGGCUUCCAAGGCCAAAUAAGAGGUUUUAGCAUGAAACCAUAGACGGAAUUUGGAACAGAAAAAAAUUAUUUUUAAAACAGAGCUGAAAGUUAAAAAGUAGGCUCUAAGAUCUCUUAGUGGAAUUGUGGCUUCCUUUGUUCUGGAUCCCCAUUUCCCCUAGUGAUUUUCAAACAAAGUAAAAACACAUUUUCACAGACACUGGUUGAGCCUGAACCAGCCUCCUCCACCGUUGUGUUUGAAUGUGAAAUAUCCUCAGAGGCCCAAGGGCUUUUUUGUUCAUGCUCCCAGCUGGUGGUGCUGUGAACCUUUUGCUAGAAGAACUGCAACACAUAGUGCAUCAUUGGGUGGGAGGGAGGUGUGGGGCUUGCAGCUUUACUCCUGCCCUCUCUGCACCUGUUUCCUGGUCCUUUCCUGGUCUGUGGAGAUGGGAGGGAUCCCGGCCACAUGUACCAACAGCCAUGAACUCUCCCAUGCCUCCCCAACCGUGACAACUGCACCCUCUCCCAACACAAGAUGAAGCCAAGCCAUUGGUCUUCCAGUUGCUUCUGUCAGGGAUUUUGUCACAGCUACGAGAAAGGUGACUAACUCAUUGGGUGACAAGGAGAGGACCAGGCAAGAAGAAAGGAUGGGCACAUUUGCUGAGCACCUAGGGCUGGGCUUGGAAUGCUGCUGGAACCCGUCAGAGUGCUAGGUGUUGUGGUGCCUGAGAUCAGAAUCCAUGGCUGACUUAGGACUGGGGCAGCUCCUUAGCCCUCAUCUGAGGCACUGUGAGCUCAUCUGUAGGAAGGGAUGGGUGGAGUUUGAACUCAGCCUUUCCCAAUAACUCCCCACUGCUCUCUUCCUCAAACCCAUCCUUAGCCGUGGCCAACAUCCUGUCUCAUGGUGAUCUGAGCAGUGAAUGUCUACAUACCUCAAGCUGAAAUGUCCUUAAAGAAAAGCUUAUUUAUUCACUUCUCUCUGUCUUUCUCUCCCUCCCUCUGUCUCUCUGUCUCUGUCUCUCUCUGUCUCUGUCUCUGUCUCUCUCUCUGUCUGUGUGUGUGUGUGUGGUGAAAGUGUGACAGUCGGAGGUCUACUAGCAGUAGUCAGUUCUCUCCUUCUAACACACACACACACACACACACACACACACACACGUUCUGGGGACAGAACACAGAUCAUCAGGUUGGAAGACAACCACCCUUACCGGCCGAGCCACCUUGCUGGCCGAACAGUACUUUGUUAGCAACCUGCCUAUUGGAGUUCAUGCUUGGAAAACUUUCAAGCUCUGUCCUGUAUUCAAGCUACUUUCUAUCCCUCCUCAAGCCUCUCCUCA
Mus musculus (house mouse) is the source of this 7085-nucleotide long non-coding RNA. RefSeq annotates it as predicted gene, 38914. Lineage: Eukaryota; Metazoa; Chordata; Mammalia; Rodentia; Muridae. The record is from RefSeq and is a predicted model, not a curated record. The transcript is spliced from 3 exons.